AAGAUGAAGAGAACAAGACAAGGAGGCCGACCUCGUACCAUGUCUUAACUCUUGGAAGAAACUUCAUCACGUUCUGGAAGCACAGGUCGCAGCGCAAACGAAUCAGCACAGCUACCUCCUCCAGCACCAGCAGUGGAAGAGCAAAUCAAUACGCCAACAAGUAAAGUCACACGAGGACAGAGCAAAGGCAUUCCAGAGUGGAAUACAGGUGUCAAAGUACAUGUUCAAUUUAAUGGAAUCAAUUUCCAGCCGGUGGGAGAAAGGGCAGGUCAGCUUAAGUCACAAUUGGGUCAGAUAGUACGAAAUGGCCAUAGAGUUCCACUAAAUAUUCUUGAUUGGAAGAAAGUCGGUAAUGAUGUGAAGGAAGAAAUUUGGGAAGAGGUUAAGAAAAACUUGGUGGAAGUCCCUGAAGGCUAUAAAUCAGUUUGCUUGGAAAAUUGUAAUUUGCUUUGGAAGGACCAUAAGAGCAAAACAAAAUCGUUUCACUAUGUGCCCAAUAAGGACGAUCCUGAACUUAGUUCUAAAAAUCCUCCGCAUAUUGUUGCAGAGCAAUGGUCUGAGCUUGUUGCAUAUUGGAGUAGUGAGGAUGCAAAGGUAAAAUACACAACUAAGUACAUAUGUAUGGGGAGCUUCACAAGUUAUUUUAACACCUUGAAUUUGAAAAUGUUGCAGGUGAUAGCAGAAAGAAAUUCAAUAAACCGA
Molecule: long non-coding RNA, 702 nt
Organism: Rosa chinensis
Lineage: Eukaryota; Viridiplantae; Streptophyta; Magnoliopsida; Rosales; Rosaceae
Exons: 3
Source: RefSeq, a predicted model, not a curated record